Non-coding RNA from Betaproteobacteria bacterium, 115 nucleotides. Lineage: Bacteria; Pseudomonadati; Pseudomonadota; Betaproteobacteria. The record is from Rfam.
UCUGGUACCCAUAGCGCUCUGGAACCACUCCUUCCCAUCCCGAACAGGACCGUGAAACGGAGCUGCGCCGCUGAUAGUGCGGGGUAUACCGCGCGAAAGUAGGUCAGUGCCAGAC